This 64-nucleotide transfer RNA is filed under the name Oplophorus spinosus. RNAcentral describes it as "tRNA-Phe". It matches the Rfam family "tRNA". From Rfam's summary of the family: Transfer RNA (tRNA) molecules are approximately 80 nucleotides in length. Their secondary structure includes four short double-helical elements and three loops (D, anti-codon, and T loops). The record is from RNAcentral. Lineage: Eukaryota; Metazoa; Arthropoda; Malacostraca; Decapoda; Oplophoridae.
ACUUAGGUAGCUUAAUUAAAAGCGUUACGUUGAAGCCGUAAAGAUGAUGGGGCAUCUUUAAGUA